AGAGUUUGAUCAUGGCUCAGGAUGAACGCUGGCGGCGUGCCUAACACAUGCAAGUCGAGCGGGGAAGCCGGAACAUGUAGAGAUAUAUGAGAAAGCAUCCGUAGCGGCGGACGGGUGAGUAACACGUGAGGAACCUGCCUUACACAGGGGAAUAACACCGUGAAAACGGUGCUAAUACCGCAUAACACCGCACUAUGGCAUCAUAGAGCGGUCAAAGGAGAAAUCCGGUGUAAGAUGGCCUCGCGCCCGAUUAGUUAGUUGGUGGGGUAAUGGCCUACCAAGACUGCGAUCGGUAGCCGGACUGAGAGGUCGAACGGCCACAUUGGAACUGAGAGACGGUCCAGACUCCUACGGGAGGCAGCAGUGGGGAAUAUUGGGCAAUGGGGGGAAAAACCCCUGACCCAGCAACGCCGCGUGAAGGAAGAAGGCCUUCGGGUUGUAAACUUCUUUGAUCAGGGAAGAAACAAAUGACGGUACCUGAAAAACAAGCCACGGCUAACUACGUGCCAGCAGCGGC
This 517-nucleotide ribosomal RNA is filed under the name uncultured bacterium. Its description in RNAcentral is "bacterial SSU rRNA". It matches the Rfam family "Bacterial small subunit ribosomal RNA", at positions 8 to 518 of the family's 1533-position model. The record is from RNAcentral.